UUGGAGGGCAAGUCUGGUGCCAGCAGCCGCGGUAAUUCCAGCUCCAAUAGCGUAUAUUAAAGUUGUUGCAGUUAAAAAGCUCGUAGUUGAAUUUCGGGAUUGACGUGAUGGUCAUGCCUUAAGGGGUACGAACUGUCACAGUUGAUUUCUCACCUUCUGGAGAAACUUGAUGUCCUUUAUUGGGUGUCUUGCGGAUCCAGGACCUUUACCUUGAAAAAAUUAGAGUGUUUAAAGCAGGCAUUUUUUGCUCGAAUACAUUAGCAUGGAAUAAUAGAAUAGGACGGCAUGGUUCUAUUUUGUUGGUUUCUAGGAUCACCGUAAUGAUUAAUAGGGAUAGUUGGGGGCAUUAGUAUUCAAUUGUCAGAGGUGAAAUUCUUGGAUUUAUUGAAGACUAACUACUGCGAAAGCAUUUGCCAAGGAUGUUUUCAUUAAUCAAGAACGAAAGUUAGGGGAUCGAAGACGAUCGGAUACCGUCGUAGUCUUAACCAUAAACUAUGCCGACUAGGAAUCAGACGAUGUUAAUUUUUUAAUGACUCGUUUGGCACCUUACGGGAAAC
Molecule: ribosomal RNA, 557 nt
Filed under: uncultured Glomus
Lineage: Eukaryota; Fungi; Glomeromycota; Glomeromycetes; Glomerales; Glomeraceae
Description: SSU rRNA
Rfam family: Eukaryotic small subunit ribosomal RNA
Source: RNAcentral